GGUCGCCUCCGGUUUGACGAUGACCCCAGUGUUUAUAUAAUCUUUCUCUUUUCCAUUUGACGAUUUUCAGUCCCCCCCCCCAAGAAAAAAAAACCAAGAUCUUCAUCAAUGGUAAGUGUGAAGUUAUUUGAAUGCUCUCCUUUUCAGAUUAGACAACCUAAAAAAUUAAGGUCAUCAUUUUGAAAUUUUUUUUUUGAUCGUAGUAGUCAAAACUUUAUCUCAUCUUCUAUUCGUGAAUCUGCAUCACGAUCACCUCACGAACUCUCCUACCAUGGAUGCUCUUAUUUCUCACCAACACAGGUGUGCUUCAGAGGCAGAAAGCUAUAAAAGAAUGGUUUGGAAUACAUAGCUCAUACGCCAGAGUAAGAGAAUAAGAAACAAGGCAGACGCUCUUUUAUUCUUUUGGUAUUCCUUUUAGAUUAGACCAAUACUUGUAACCUGUUGUGGAGAUGUUUUGAUGGUACUAUGGUAUUGGUAAUCGAAAUAAAUUGUUCAAUUUUUCU
This 503-nucleotide long non-coding RNA is filed under the name Helianthus annuus (common sunflower). RNAcentral describes it as "hypothetical non coding rna". The record is from RNAcentral. Lineage: Eukaryota; Viridiplantae; Streptophyta; Magnoliopsida; Asterales; Asteraceae.